GAGCCAUUAGGAGUAUCUGACUUUUAAUCAGAGGGUCAGAGGUUCGAAUCCUCUAUGGCUCACCA
RNAcentral lists this transfer RNA (65 nucleotides) under Staphylococcus aureus. RNAcentral describes it as "tRNA-OTHER". It matches the Rfam family "tRNA". From Rfam's summary of the family: Transfer RNA (tRNA) molecules are approximately 80 nucleotides in length. Their secondary structure includes four short double-helical elements and three loops (D, anti-codon, and T loops). Lineage: Bacteria; Bacillati; Bacillota; Bacilli; Caryophanales; Staphylococcaceae. The record is from RNAcentral.